AGGAAGGGGAUGGUAGGAGACAGGAGACCUCUAGGGACCCCAGGUCACCAGACUUCUCUGAGCCCCAGUUUCCCCAGCAGCGUAUAGGGGCUAUGUGGGGAGUAUUCAGGAGACAGACAACUCACUCGUCAAAUCCUCCCCUUCCUGGCCAACAAAGCUGCUGCAACCACAGGGGUUUCUUCUGUUCAGGCGCCAUGUCAGAACCGGCUGGGGAUGUCCGUCAGAACCCAUGCGGCAGCAAGGCCUGCCGCCGCCUCUUCGGCCCAGUGGACAGCGAGCAGCUGAGCCGCGACUGUGAUGCGCUAAUGGCGGGCUGCAUCCAGGAGGCCCGUGAGCGAUGGAACUUCGACUUUGUCACCGAGACACCACUGGAGGGUGACUUCGCCUGGGAGCGUGUGCGGGGCCUUGGCCUGCCCAAGCUCUACCUUCCCACGGGGCCCCGGCGAGGCCGGGAUGAGUUGGGAGGAGGCAGGCGGCCUGGCACCUCACCUGCUCUGCUGCAGGGGACAGCAGAGGAAGACCAUGUGGACCUGUCACUGUCUUGUACCCUUGUGCCUCGCUCAGGGGAGCAGGCUGAAGGGUCCCCAGGUGGACCUGGAGACUC
Molecule: small RNA, 604 nt
Filed under: Pan troglodytes (chimpanzee)
Lineage: Eukaryota; Metazoa; Chordata; Mammalia; Primates; Hominidae
Description: processed transcript
Source: RNAcentral